GGAGGUAUGGCUCAGUGGUAGAGCGCAUGCUUAGCAUGCAUGAGGUCCUGGGUUCCAUCCCCAGUACCUCCA
Molecule: transfer RNA, 72 nt
Filed under: Vicugna pacos (alpaca)
Lineage: Eukaryota; Metazoa; Chordata; Mammalia; Artiodactyla; Camelidae
Description: tRNA-Ala (AGC) (tRNA-Ala-AGC-162-1)
Rfam family: tRNA
About the family: Transfer RNA (tRNA) molecules are approximately 80 nucleotides in length. Their secondary structure includes four short double-helical elements and three loops (D, anti-codon, and T loops).
Source: Rfam by way of RNAcentral